This is a non-coding RNA of Pelobates cultripes (western spadefoot toad), 275 nucleotides long. The record is from the annotation of a GenBank genome assembly. Lineage: Eukaryota; Metazoa; Chordata; Amphibia; Anura; Pelobatidae.
UGUCUAGGGGAUCGCUUUUGCACCCUGCUCUGGAGUAGGAGGAGGUGGAUGUAGAGUAGGUGGUUGAGGAGGCGGUGACCGUGGUGGCGACGACGCAUUCGGAUGUCUGCCCUAUCAACUUUCGAUGUUACUAUCUGCACCUACCAUGGUGACCACGGGUAACAAAGAAUCAGGGUUCGAUUCCGGAGAGGGAGCCUGAGAAACGGUUACCACAUCCAAGGAAGGCAGCAGGUGCGGAAAUUACCCAGUCCCGACGCGGGGAGGUAGUGACGAUA